GAGAGCAUAAGAAACACACACAAUGAAUCUCCAUUCUGUCAUUCUGCUUUCUGUCUUUGCAUAUGCAACAUAUGGAAAUGAAAUUAAACCAACCAAAACAGAGGAGUUUGCUGACGAGGGUUCAAGUGUUAAAUUAUCCUGCGGUUAUACAUCUGCAUACUAUCUUCACUGGUACCGUCAGUAUCCCGGAUCAGCUCCUCAGUUAAUUGUGCUCAUCUCAGACAGUGCAAAAGAAGACCAGAAGUCUAAUGUAGAUUCCAGAUUCACGGCUAAAGUCACUAAAGACAAUAAUGAAUACAUUGUGGAUCUGGAGAUCUCCUCUGCAUCUAUAUCAGACUCUGCUCUGUACUACUGCGAUCACUAG
Molecule: non-coding RNA, 364 nt
Organism: Sinocyclocheilus rhinocerous
Lineage: Eukaryota; Metazoa; Chordata; Actinopteri; Cypriniformes; Cyprinidae
Source: the annotation of a RefSeq genome assembly